GGGACACGUGGUAUCCUGUCUGAAUAUGGGGGGACCAUCCUCCAAGGCUAAAUACUCCUGACUGACCGAUAGUGAACCAGUACCGUGAGGGAAAGGCGAAAAGAACCCCGGCGAGGGGAGUGAAAAAGAACCUGAAACCGUGUACGUACAAGCAGUGGGAGCACGCUUAGGCGUGUGACUGCGUACCUUUUGUAUAAUGGGUCAGCGACUUAUAUUCUGUAGCAAGGUUAACCGAAUAGGGGAGCCGAAGGGAAACCGAGUCUUAACUGGGCGUUAAGUUGCAGGGUAUAGACCCGAAACCCGGUGAUCUAGCCAUGGGCAGGUUGAAGGUUGGGUAACACUAACUGGAGGACCGAACCGACUAAUGUUGAAAAAUUAGCGGAUGACUUGUGGCUGGGGGUGAAAGGCCAAUCAAACCGGGAGAUAGCUGGUUCUCCCCGAAAGCUAUUUAGGUAGCGCCUCGUGAAUUCAUCUCCGGGGGUAGAGCACUGUUUCGGCAAGGGGGUCAUCCCGACUUACCAACCCGAUGCAAACUGCGAAUACCGGAGAAUGUUAUCACGGGAGACACACGGCGGGUGCUAACGUCCGUCGUGAAGAGGGAAACAACCCAGACCGCCAGCUAAGGUCCCAAAGUCAUGGUUAAGUGGGAAACGAUGUGGGAAGGCCCAGACAGCCAGGAUGUUGGCUUAGAAGCAGCCAUCAUUUAAAGAAAGCGUAAUAGCUCACUGGUCGAGUCGGCCUGCGCGGAAGAUGUAACGGGGCUAAACCAUGCACCGAAGCUGCGGCAGCGACGCUUAUGCGUUGUUGGGUAGGGGAGCGUUCUGUAAGCCUGCGAAGGUGUGCUGUGAGGCAUGCUGGAGGUAUCAGAAGUGCGAAUGCUGACAUAAGUAACGAUAAAGCGGGUGAAAAGCCCGCUCGCCGGAAGACCAAGGGUUCCUGUCCAACGUUAAUCGGGGCAGGGUGAGUCGACCCCUAAGGCGAGGCCGAAAGGCGUAGUCGAUGGGAAACAGGUUAAUAUUCCUGUACUUGGUGUUACUGCGAAGGGGGGACGGAGAAGGCUAUGUUGGCCGGGCGACGGUUGUCCCGGUUUAAGCGUGUAGGCUGGUUUUCUAGGCAAAUCCGGAAAAUCAAGGCUGAGGCGUGAUGACGAGGC
RNAcentral lists this ribosomal RNA (1153 nucleotides) under Escherichia coli. RNAcentral describes it as "partial 23S ribosomal RNA". It matches the Rfam family "Bacterial large subunit ribosomal RNA", at positions 419 to 1575 of the family's 2925-position model. Lineage: Bacteria; Pseudomonadati; Pseudomonadota; Gammaproteobacteria; Enterobacterales; Enterobacteriaceae. The record is from RNAcentral.